Meriones unguiculatus (Mongolian gerbil) is the source of this 137-nucleotide small nucleolar RNA. RefSeq annotates it as small nucleolar RNA SNORA48. Lineage: Eukaryota; Metazoa; Chordata; Mammalia; Rodentia; Muridae. The record is from RefSeq and is a predicted model, not a curated record. The transcript has a single exon.
GACUCUUGGCAACGGGCAAAGACACACCUUGUUCGUGGUUUUGUUUUUGUAUCAGUCAAGGGCAGAGCAGUCCUCCGUUCAUCCUAGCUUGAUGCCUGACUUGGUGGUCAAACCUGUUUUAACUCUAAGACACAUAA